GCUAUAAUGCAGUCGAGCGAUGGAUUAAGAGCUUGCUCUUAUGAAGUUAGCGGCGGACGGGUGAGUAACACGUGGGUAACCUGCCCAUAAGACUGGGAUAACUCCGGGAAACCGGGGCUAAUACCGGAUAACAUUUUGCACCGCAUGGUGCGAAAUUCAAAGGCGGCUUCGGCUGUCACUUAUGGAUGGACCCGCGUCGCAUUAGCUAGUUGGUGAGGUAACGGCUCACCAAGGCAACGAUGCGUAGCCGACCUGAGAGGGUGAUCGGCCACACUGGGACUGAGACACGGCCCAGACUCCUACGGGAGGCAGCAGUAGGGAAUCUUCCGCAAUGGACGAAAGUCUGACGGAGCAACGCCGCGUGAGUGAUGAAGGCUUUCGGGUCGUAAAACUCUGUUGUUAGGGAAGAACAAGUGCUAGUUGAAUAAGCUGGCACCUUGACGGUACCUAACCAGAAAGCCACGGCUAACUACGUGCCAGCAGCCGCGGUAAUACGUAGGUGGCAAGCGUUAUCCGGAAUUAUUGGGCGUAAAGCGCGCGCAGGUGGUUUCUUAAGUCUGAUGUGAAAGCCCACGGCUCAACCGUGGAGGGUCAUUGGAAACUGGGAGACUUGAGUGCAGAAGAGG
This 626-nucleotide ribosomal RNA is filed under the name Bacillus anthracis (anthrax bacterium). RNAcentral's name for it is "bacterial SSU rRNA". It matches the Rfam family "Bacterial small subunit ribosomal RNA", at positions 46 to 657 of the family's 1533-position model. Lineage: Bacteria; Bacillati; Bacillota; Bacilli; Caryophanales; Bacillaceae. The record is from RNAcentral.